This is a non-coding RNA of Pelobates cultripes (western spadefoot toad), 325 nucleotides long. The record is from the annotation of a GenBank genome assembly. Lineage: Eukaryota; Metazoa; Chordata; Amphibia; Anura; Pelobatidae.
UUUUAUUAGAAUUUUGAUUAAAUGUUAUGCUUUAUCAAUCAUAUUAAAGUGUAUGUUUAAACCUCAUCAGAAACCUAUUUCGAUAGGGCAUUUUGUUCUAAUUUCUCAAAAUUUAUUAAACUAAGGGCUAUCCCCUCGUUGCCCUUCCUAUGGAUAAAAAAAGCUCUCCCCUGUGCUAUUGUAUGCCCUGUAUAUCUUUAUGCUAUUGUGCUACUGGCAUAGACCUUAUAUAUAACCUUAGAGACACUUAAGUGUGUAUCCUAAUCCAUUAGACUUAUUCAAAGAAAUCUCCUAUGUCACUUCCAAUCUCAAAGACCGUUGUCAA